RNAcentral lists this long non-coding RNA (1205 nucleotides) under Monodelphis domestica (gray short-tailed opossum). Its description in RNAcentral is "lncRNA (ENSMODG00000040684.1)". The record is from RNAcentral. Lineage: Eukaryota; Metazoa; Chordata; Mammalia; Didelphimorphia; Didelphidae.
GAGACCAAUUUAGGUUCAACAUUAUCGGGGAUGGGCCAGGGGAAGGGGGGAAAUUUUCUAAAUAAUUAGCCAUCUCCAAAAGGGGAUCAGGCUGCCUCCAAGGGGGCAUGUUUCUCCAUAAUGACAAUCUUCUGGCAUCGACUGGAAGACCCAGCUCCUGGGGAUGUGAUAAUGGAGACUACUUUCAGGUGCUCCCACAAGUUUAUCAAGAAGUGUCCACCUACCUUAUUGAUGAGCCUUUACUCUUUCCAUCUGAUGUCUCAUUGCCACAUGGAGGUUCUCAAACUUUGGGGCAGGAGGAUGUCAUCUUCAGCUUGUUAUGAAAACUGGCAAGUCUGAAUGGGCUACAAACUCCAAAAGAGUUUACAGUGUUAUAUCAUAUUCAGAUUAUUGUGUUCAAUUCUGAGGACCACUUUAUGCUAGAGCAUUGACCACCUGGAGAACAUCUAUCUAAAAGGCAAUGAAGAGGGGGCUCAAGAUCAUAUGGGGACUGAUUGAUGAAACUGAAGAUGGCCAGCCUGAAGAAGAGAAGCAAUGAUUAUUUUAAGGUCUGUCGUCUGUCAAGUAGCAGAGGGAUCAUACUUGUUCUGUUUGGUCCCAGAGGGUAGAACUAAGAACACCAACUGGCUCUUAUAGAGAAGUAGAUUUGGACUUAAAGCAAAAAGUAUUUUCUUAUUUAUUAAGGCUAUUCACAAGUAGGAUAGGCUGCUUUGAAUGUUUAGGUCUUGUCUGUACAUUCCUCAAGGACAUUUGUCUUCUUAUUGGCUAACACAUUGCCUUGAUCCUAGCAAGAAUUACCUAAAAUAUUCUUUUUGACUGACUGACUGGCUGUCUCAAGACUUUCUAAGCAUUGGAGUUCUUCAUGGAAAGGAUGAAUGGCUAUUUAUUGGUGAUGAUAUAAAGGGAAUUCCUUGUUCAGGGACAGGUUGGGUAGACUAGAUGAUCUCUGAAGUUCCUUCCAACUAUUUGAUUUUUGUGAUUCUGUCAUUCUCUGUUAUCCUUUACCUGUUAGUUUUUUUUCUUUAUUCUGCUGACAAAAGAAGUAUGGAUCUCUGUAGAGAGAAUUGUAGCCUAAUUUAAAAAAUUGAUUAUUGCUAAAUUGUAGAGUUAUCUGGAAGUUAGUCUUUUAUUAACAAGUCAUUUAAUAUUUAGGAGAUCUAACCUUUUGUUAAUAAAUAAUAUUUCCCUAAGAAAAAUUGUGACCA